Molecule: long non-coding RNA, 284 nt
Filed under: Panax ginseng (ginseng)
Lineage: Eukaryota; Viridiplantae; Streptophyta; Magnoliopsida; Apiales; Araliaceae
Description: long non-coding RNA (PGIN_LNC006024)
Source: RNAcentral
AAGCUAUGCCUUCAUGCGGCUUUUCUCCUUAACCAAACCGAGCUGCCCUUAUUAUUAUUUUUUUUUUCUUGGCGGCUACUCCAUUACUCCAAUAAAUCACAGCUCCUGCUUCUUAUUCUUCCAGCUUACUCCUAAUUUAAUGACUCAGGAUUUUCAUUCCAGCUCAUACUUAUAAUGCAUACCCUGGCUUUGACAUCAUAUAAUAUAUAUGUAAUAUAUUUAUACAUUACAUAUUACCUUACAUAAUAUUACCACACUAAUAACAUUUGGUGUGAUAAUUUGCC